Triticum aestivum (bread wheat) is the source of this 115-nucleotide non-coding RNA. The record is from Rfam. Lineage: Eukaryota; Viridiplantae; Streptophyta; Magnoliopsida; Poales; Poaceae.
AUGGUGCUCCCUCCAUUCGAAAUUACUUGUCGCAGAAAUUGAUGUAUCUAGACGUAUUUUAGUUCUAGAUACAUCCAUUUCCGAGACAAGUAAUUCCGAACGGAGGGAGUAAUAA